GAGGGUGCGAGCGUUAAUCGGAAUUACUGGGCGUAAAGGGCGCGUAGGCGGUUUAUUGGGUGUGAUGUGAAAGCCUUGGGCUUAACCUGAGAAGUGCAUCGCAAACUAAUAGACUGGAGUAGAUGAGAGGGUGGCGGAAUUUCCGGUGUAGCGGUGAAAUGCGUAGAGAUCGGAAGGAACGUCAAUGGCGAAGGCAGCCACCUGGCAUCAUACUGACGCUGAGGCGCGAGAGCGUGGGGAGCGAACAGGAUUAGAUACCCUGGUAGUCCACGCUGUAAACGAUGAGGACUAGAUGUUGCGAGGGGAACCUUGCAGUAUCGAAGCUAACGCGAUAAGUCUUCCGCCUGGGAAGUACGGCCGCAAGGUUG
Molecule: ribosomal RNA, 368 nt
Filed under: uncultured organism
Description: bacterial SSU rRNA
Rfam family: Bacterial small subunit ribosomal RNA
Source: RNAcentral